RNAcentral lists this unclassified non-coding RNA (267 nucleotides) under Hevea brasiliensis (rubber tree). Lineage: Eukaryota; Viridiplantae; Streptophyta; Magnoliopsida; Malpighiales; Euphorbiaceae. The record is from RNAcentral.
GUGAUGGAACCACAAGUGGACCUAUAACUAGACUUGUUUCUGGUAAUGUAAUUGGAGUUGAAUAUGAGCAUUGACUCGGGUAUCUAAUACUAAUAAGUCGCCAGCUUGUUUGAGGGCUGGAAGUCUUGAAGUUGAAGACAUACCUGUACCCAGAAUCAUGUUAGACUGCAGGUCUGCGAUAACCCUUUGAAGAUGCUGCUGAAGUUGGGAUAGACUAUCAAUGAUCUCAGUCCAACCAAUGUCAUGACACAAGCAUUCAACCAAUCG